This is a long non-coding RNA of Oreochromis niloticus (Nile tilapia), 431 nucleotides long. RefSeq lists it as uncharacterized. The transcript is spliced from 2 exons. The record is from RefSeq and is a predicted model, not a curated record. NCBI's taxonomy places the organism in Eukaryota, Metazoa, Chordata, Actinopteri, Cichliformes, Cichlidae.
AACGGCGUUUAAAACGGCGUUUUAUUGAAAUUAUGCAGGGCACUCCCCAUGGUUCCCUCAUCCAAUUACUUUCAACUCAUUUCACCCAAUCAAAGAAGAGGAAGUGCAGACCACACUAAUGCAUCACCGAUUCACCUUGCUGCUAAGUGAUUGCCUAUUCGGUAUCAGUGCUUGUCACAGUAUUGACUUGUAUUAUAAUCCCACUAUGCAUUUUGAUGUGUUUAAGGCAUGAUCAAGCAAACAAAUGACAGAAUACUUUUGCUGAAACCUUAACUGUGUUACCUGUUAUGGCAGCUAACAGACACUCGGCGCAUGGCUCCUUUGUUUACGUUAGGGAUCAGCUGUUAGCGCUGCGCCCUGCAGCUGCGCUACCGGCAGACAGACCCUACGUCCCCAGUGAGGGAAGAGACGGGGGUGAUGUCUCCCGAUAA